AUAUGGUCGACCUGCAGGCGGCCGCGAAUUCACUAGUGAUUCGUAUUACCGCGGCUGCUGGCACGGAGUUAGCCGGAGCUUAUUCUCCCGGUACUGUCAUUAUCAUCCCGGGUAAAAGAGCUUUACGACCCUAAGGCCUUCAUCACUCACGCGGCAUUGCUGGAUCAGGCUUGCGCCCAUUGUCCAAUGUUCCCCACUGCUGCCUCCCGUAGGAGUCUGGGCCGUGUCUCAGUCCCAGUGUGGCUGAUCAUCCUCUCAGACCAGCUAAGGAUCGUCGGCUUGGUAGGCCUUUACCCCACCAACUACCUAAUCCUACGCGGGCUCAUCCCUGGCCGAUAAAUCUUUGGUCCGAAGACAUCAUCCGGUAUUAGCAGUCAUUUCUAACUGUUAUUCCGAAGCCAAGGGCAGAUUCCCACGCGUUACGCACCCGUGCGCCACUAACCCCGAAGGGUUCGUUCGACUUGCAUGUGUUAGGCAUGCCGCCAGCGUUCGUUCUGAGCCAUGAUCAAACUCUAAUCGAAUUCCCG
RNAcentral lists this ribosomal RNA (527 nucleotides) under uncultured Alphaproteobacteria bacterium. Its description in RNAcentral is "partial 16S ribosomal RNA". Lineage: Bacteria; Pseudomonadati; Pseudomonadota; Alphaproteobacteria. The record is from RNAcentral.